This 460-nucleotide ribosomal RNA is filed under the name uncultured bacterium. Its description in RNAcentral is "bacterial SSU rRNA". It matches the Rfam family "Bacterial small subunit ribosomal RNA", at positions 28 to 507 of the family's 1533-position model. The record is from RNAcentral.
GACGAACGCUGGCGGCGUGCUUAACACAUGCAAGUCGAGCGAUGAAGCUUCUUCGGGAGUGGAUUAGCGGCGGACGGGUGAGUAACACGUGGGUAACCUGCCUCAUAGAGGGGAAUAGCCUUCCGAAAGGAAGAUUAAUACCGCAUAAGAUUGUAAUACCGCAUGGUAUAGCAAUUAAAGGAGUAAUCCGCUAUGAGAUGGACCCGCGUCGCAUUAGCUAGUUGGUGAGGUAACGGCUCACCAAGGCGACGAUGCGUAGCCGACCUGAGAGGGUGAUCGGCCACAUUGGGACUGAGACACGGCCCAGACUCCUACGGGAGGCAGCAGUGGGAAUAUUGCACAAUGGGGGAACCCUGAUGCAGCAACGCCGCGUGAGUGAUGAAGGUCUUCGGAUUGUAAAGCUCUGUCUUUGGGGACGAUAAUGACGGUACCCAAGGAGGAAGCCACGGCUAACUACGUG